RNAcentral lists this ribosomal RNA (422 nucleotides) under uncultured bacterium. RNAcentral describes it as "bacterial SSU rRNA". It matches the Rfam family "Bacterial small subunit ribosomal RNA", at positions 917 to 1341 of the family's 1533-position model. The record is from RNAcentral.
GGGCCCGCACAAGCGGCGGAGCAUGCGGCUUAAUUCGAUGCAACGCGAAGAACCUUACCUAGGCUUGACAUACAGCGUUUACUGGCAGAGAUGUCAGGUCCUUUAGAGGGCGCUAUACAGGUGGUGCAUGGCUGUCGUCAGCUCGUGUCGUGAGAUGUUGGGUUAAGUCCCGCAACGAGCGCAACCCUCGUCCUAUGUUGCCAGCGGUUCGGCCGGGGACUCUAGAAAAACUGCCAGCGUAAGCUGUGAGGAAGGUGGGGAUGACGUCAAAUCAUCACGGCCCUUACGUCCUGGGCUACACACGUGCUACAAUGGUAGGGACAGAGAGUUGCCAACCCGCGAGGGUGAGCUAAUCUUCAAACCCUAUCUCAGUUCGGAUCGGAGUCUGCAACUCGACUCCGUGAAGUUGGAAUCGCUAGUAA